This 1698-nucleotide long non-coding RNA is filed under the name Canis lupus familiaris (dog). Its description in RNAcentral is "lncRNA (ENSCAFG00000057371.1)". Lineage: Eukaryota; Metazoa; Chordata; Mammalia; Carnivora; Canidae. The record is from RNAcentral.
GGAGGUAAAAGAAAACAAAUAUACAAAAUGAGAAUUUAGUGACUGCAUCAAGGAUAAUAACAUUUGCAAUAUAGGGAUCCCUAAGAAGAGAAAGAAAAGGGAGCAGAAAAUUUAUUUGAAGGAAUAAUAACUGAAACUUCCUGAAUCUUGGGAAAGAAACAAAAACCCAGAUCCAGGAGGCACAGAUAUCCCCCAAUAAAAUCAACCCAAGGAGGUCCACACAAAGACAGACAAUACUUAAAAUGGCAAAAAGAAGUAAUAAAGACAAAGAAAAUAAAGCAGAAAGAGAAAAGACAAUAAUUAAAACUUUUAAGGUCAGAAGGGAAUGACAUAUAUGCAAAGUGCUGAAUGGGAAAAAUGUACAGUCAAGAAUACUUUAUCCAGAAAGGCUAGCAGUCAGAAUAGGAGGAAGAAUAAGGAAUUUCUCAGACAAAAACUAAAGAACUUCAUGACCACCAAACCAGCCUUUAACAGUCCCUGUUAAAAGGGGCUUCUGCAUAUGACAUGAUACUAUAUAUAACCCUAAAGAUUCCACACAAAAAAAUACUAGAACUGAUAAAUAAAUUCAGUAAAGUUGCAGGAUACAAAAUCAAUGUACAGAAAUCUAUUGCAUUUUUAUAUGCUAAUAAUUAUGCAGCAAAAGAGAAAUUAAGGAAACUAUCCCAUUUACAACUGCACCAAAACCAAUAAAAUACCAAUAAAAUACCAAUACCAAUAAAAUACGGAAUUAAAAUGUCCGUAUACCCAAAGCAAUCUACACAUUUAUGCAAUCCCCAUCAAAAUACCAACAGCAUUUUUCAAAGAAUUAAACAAAUUAUUCUAAAACUUAUAUGGAACCAGACAAGACCCCAAAUAGCCAAAGCAAUCUUCAAAAGGAAAAACAAAAAUGGAGGCAUCACAGUUCUGAACCUUGAGUUAUAUUACAAAGCAUAGACCAAAACAGUAUGAUACUGACAUAAAAACAGACACAUAGAUCAAUGGAACAGAAUAGAACACCCAGAAAUCAAUCCAUAAGUAUAUGGUCAAUUAAUCUUUGGCAAAGGAGGCAAGACUAUGCAAUGUGAAAAAGGCAGUUUCUUCAAUAAAUGGUGUUGGGAAAACCAGACAACAUACAAAAGAAUGAAACUGGACCAUUUUCUUAUACCAUUUAAAAUAAACUCAAAAUGCAUUAAGAACCUAAGUGUGGGACCUGAAACUAUAAAUAUCCUAAAACAUAACACAGCCAGUAAUUUCUCUAACAUCAGCUUCAGAAACAUUUUUCUAGAUAUGCCUCCUGAGGCAAGGAAAAUAAAAGCGAAAACAAACUUGCACUUGAUGGGAUGAGCACUGGGUGUUAUUCUGUAUGUUGGUAAAUUGAACACCAAUAAAAAAUAAAUUUAUUAUUUAAAAAAACUUGGGAUUAUAUUAAAAUAAAACGCUUCUGAACAGCAAAACUGGUUAAAAACAACCAACAAGAUUAAAAGACAACCAAUAAGAGGGGUUAGUAUACAAAAUAUAUAAAAAAUUUAUACAACUGCACACCAAAAAAAUUCACUUAACAAAUGAGAAGAUAUGAACAGAUAUUUCUCCAAAGAAAACACAUAUAACCAACACAUUAAAAGAUGUUCAACAUCCCCCAUCAUGAGGGAAAUGCAAAUCAAAACUACAAAAAAUAUUCCUCACACCUGUCAGAACAGCUAAAAUAAAAUAAAAAAAAAA